This is a non-coding RNA of Vicugna pacos (alpaca), 278 nucleotides long. Lineage: Eukaryota; Metazoa; Chordata; Mammalia; Artiodactyla; Camelidae. The record is from RefSeq and is a predicted model, not a curated record.
AUACUCACCCAUUCCACAGACGAGCACACUGAGGGUCAGAGAGGUUCGGCCACUCUCUGCAAGUUCAGCCAGUGUGUGCACAGCCAUCAUCUUAGAUUCGGUCACUUCUCUUUGUUUGUUAAUCCCAUCCUGGAAAAGGUUCUGUUUUCCAUGGAGGGAUCGAUGCACAAUUCCCAAGUCAAUUAAUCCAUGUAUGUGGAAGGUGGGCUUCGAAACAUGGACUUUUGCUCCAAUAGGUGAUGUACGUGGUGCAGUGUUCAGUAAAUGUCGGAAGUUGU